This is a long non-coding RNA of Mauremys reevesii (Reeves's turtle), 1397 nucleotides long. RefSeq lists it as uncharacterized. The record is from RefSeq and is a predicted model, not a curated record. Lineage: Eukaryota; Metazoa; Chordata; Testudines; Geoemydidae. The transcript is spliced from 4 exons.
UCUGCCCCACUGAAGGCCAGCUGGGGAGGAGUCUCAUGUUUUCUGUAAAGGGCUAAGAGAUCAGCUGGAAGGGAACUGAAGGUGGGAGAUGGGCUCCUGCUGUAGCCCCUGAAGCAGGGGUGUUUCCUCCUUUCAGUACUGAGAGGCGCAAGGGGAAAAACCUCUGAACGGUCAUUCACAGUGGGAAGAGGAACUGCUUUUUACAUUUUGUCCAAGUUAUUUAUGGUGAGGAAUAACACUGUGCCCUAAGAGAGACUUGGGCAUGGCAGUGAGCCCUUCCUGGACUGAGGAAACAGGCCAGCAGCCCACACAGGGUGGGAAGUACAGGCACGCAAAUGGUUCUGGAACUGAGGAGAAACUCAUGUAGCAGUUGGCCCAAAGCCAGACUAGGUAGGCACCACUACUACACCCAUUUUAUAGGUGUGGGAUCUGAGGCAAAUAGAAUUAACUGCCCAAGAUCACACAGGAAGUCUUUGGGGGAGCAGGGACUUGACCCAGGUCUCCCAGCUUCUAGGCUAGCACUGUAAUCGCUGGACCAUCCCUUCUUCAUCUGCUAGACUGAAGAGGCAUCUGUCAAAUUUCUGUUCUCCAUGUUUCUCCUGCCAUCCACAUGUGAGGGACCAUGAGCAAAGAGCAUUGCACAUGAAACAGCAAACAAAGCCUGCAGAUUAAACUGAGUUGGCUUCAGGGGAUAAUUGACACAAAUCACAGCUACUAAAAAGAUACUGGCUCCUUAGAACCUGUCACACAGUGCAAAGAGACAAAGAGCGAGAGUGUAAAGCAGGCCUGGAAAACAAAAUAGCAGAAGAUGUCAUUUCAGAGGAUAAGAAAAAUCAGGAUUUGUAAAGCAGCUACCUAGGACAACGAGACAGUUGGGAGGAAAGAGCAAGGCACAAUGGAGAGUGCAGCUCCCAAAAAUGGGCAAACAGCAAGAUCAGGCAGUGUUGGAAAAAGGAAAGGGAAGAAGGAUAAGCAGCAGGAUAGGUAGUUGUUUGAACAGCACUGUGGGUUACAAUUAGACAUGUAUAUGAAAUAAGAAGCAAGUGUGGGAAGAGAAGAGCCUGCAACAGGGAAAGAUGACCAGCUGCCUGGGAGGAAAGGAGACCGAACAGAAAAAGGUUUUGGCAAAAGAAAAAGGAUGCAUGACAAGAAAAGAGAAGGAGUUGGAAAGAAAAACACACACAGUAGUACAGGGACAGAGAGAGACUGAUAGAAGACAGACAACUUUCUGGCUACAUUAUCUUUCAAUUAAAAAAAGAUUAUAGGAUAAAAAGAAAUACUCCAGAGGAAAGAAUGAAGGUAGAUUAUUGUCCCAGCAAAUCUAGGUCAAAUUAUGGACCAGAUUGUGAAUCUCUGAUUCACAUUUGGGAGCAAUUACUUGCAUAAAUAGUCCCAUC